GUAUCAAUAAGCGGAGGAAAAGAAACUAACAAGGAUUCCCCUAGUAACUGCGAGUGAAGCGGGAAAAGCUCAAAGUGAAAAUCUCCAGCCUCGCGGCUUGGCGAAUUGUGCUUUAGAGACACUGUGCCAACGUGUGACCCAGGUGUAAGUCCUUUGGAAUAGGGCAUCAUGGAGGGUGAGAAUCCCGUUCAUCAUCUGGAGUUUGCCGCAGUCGGUCAGUGUUCUGAGAGUCGAGUUGGUUGGGAUUCCAACUCUAAUUGGGUGGUAAAUUUCAUCUAAAGCUAAAUAUUGAGGAGAGACCGAUAGCGCACAAGUA
RNAcentral lists this ribosomal RNA (316 nucleotides) under uncultured eukaryote. Its description in RNAcentral is "partial large subunit ribosomal RNA". It matches the Rfam family "Eukaryotic large subunit ribosomal RNA", at positions 40 to 350 of the family's 3401-position model. The record is from RNAcentral.